CUAUAGCUAAUUCUAAUCCUGAGAAUGCUAUUAUGAAGAGAAUCCUAUAUUGUAGCUCCUAAUACUAUAGU
Molecule: transfer RNA, 71 nt
Filed under: Metarhizium anisopliae
Lineage: Eukaryota; Fungi; Ascomycota; Sordariomycetes; Hypocreales; Clavicipitaceae
Description: tRNA-Phe
Source: RNAcentral